This 506-nucleotide ribosomal RNA is filed under the name uncultured bacterium. RNAcentral's name for it is "partial 16S ribosomal RNA". It matches the Rfam family "Bacterial small subunit ribosomal RNA", at positions 30 to 523 of the family's 1533-position model. The record is from RNAcentral.
AUUGAACGCUGGCGGCAUGCCUUACACAUGCAAGUCGAACGGCAGCGGGGGAGAAGCUUGCUUUUCCUGCCGGCGAGUGGCGAACGGGUGAGUAAUACAUCGGAACGUGCCCUGUAGUGGGGGAUAACUAGUCGAAAGAUUAGCUAAUACCGCAUACGACCUGAGGGUGAAAGUGGGGGACCGCAAGGCCUCAUGCUAUAGGAGCGGCCGAUGUCUGAUUAGCUAGUUGGUGGGGUAAAGGCCUACCAAGGCGACGAUCAGUAGCUGGUCUGAGAGGACGAUCAGCCACACUGGGACUGAGACACGGCCCAGACUCCUACGGGAGGCAGCAGUGGGGAAUUUUGGACAAUGGGCGAAAGCCUGAUCCAGCAAUGCCGCGUGUGAAGAAGGCCUUCGGGUUGUAAAGCACUUUUGUCCGGAAAGAAAUGGCUCUGGUUAAUACCUGGGGUCGAUGACGGUACCGGAAGAAUAAGGACCGGCUAACUACGUGCCAGCAGCCGCCGCCG